RNAcentral lists this ribosomal RNA (465 nucleotides) under uncultured bacterium. Its description in RNAcentral is "partial 16S ribosomal RNA". It matches the Rfam family "Bacterial small subunit ribosomal RNA", at positions 28 to 507 of the family's 1533-position model. The record is from RNAcentral.
GACGAACGCUGGCGGCGUGCUUAACACAUGCAAGUCGAACGGAAAGGCCCUGCUUGCAGGGUACUCGAGUGGCGAACGGGUGAGUAACACGUGGGUGAUCUGCCCUGCACUUCGGGAUAAGCCUGGGAAACUGGGUCUAAUACCGGAUAGGAGCCAUUUUUAGUGUGAUGGUUGGAAAGUUUUUUCGGUGUAGGAUGAGCUCGCGACCUAUCAGCUUGUUGGUGGGGUAAUGGCCUACCAAGGCGGCGACGGGUAGCCGGCCUGAGAGGGUGGACGGCCACAUUGGGACUGAGGUACGGCCCAGACUCCUACGGGAGGCAGCAGGGGGGAAUAUUGCACAAGGGGCGCAAGCCUGAUGCAGCGACGCCGCGUGGGGGAUGACGGCCUUCGGGUUGUAAACUCCUUUCGCUAGGGACGAAGCUUUUUGUGACGGUACCUAGAUAAGAAGCACCGGCUAACUACGUG